AACGAACGCUGGCGGCAUGCCUAACACAUGCAAGUCGAACGAGACCUUCGGGUCUAGUGGCGCACGGGUGCGUAACGCGUGGGAACCUGCCCUUAGGUUCGGAAUAACUCCCCGAAAGGGGUGCUAAUACCGGAUAAUGUCUUCGGACCAAAGAUUUAUCGCCUUUGGAUGGGCCCGCGUUGGAUUAGCUAGUUGGUAGGGUAAAAGCCUACCAAGGCGACGAUCCAUAGCUGGUCUGAGAGGAUGAUCAGCCACACUGGGACUGAGACACGGCCCAGACUCUUACGGGAGGCAGCAGUGGGGAAUAUUGGACCAUGGGCGAAAGCCUGAUCCAGCAAUGCCGCGUGAGUGAUGAAGGCCUUAGGGUUGUAAAGCUCUUUUACCCGGGAUGAUAAUGACAGUACCGGGAGAAUAAGCUCCGGCUAACUCCGUG
Molecule: ribosomal RNA, 433 nt
Filed under: uncultured bacterium
Lineage: Bacteria
Description: partial 16S ribosomal RNA
Rfam family: Bacterial small subunit ribosomal RNA
Source: RNAcentral